GACGAACGCUGGCGGCGUGCUUAACACAUGCAAGUCGAGCGGAAAGGCCCUUUCGGGGGUACUCGAGCGGCGAACGGGUGAGUAACACGUGAGUAAUCUGCCCUUGGCUUUGGGAUAACUACCGGAAACGGUGGCUAAUACCGGAUACGACCAUGCUCGGCAUCGGGUGUGGUGGAAAGUUUUUUCGGCCAGGGAUGUGCUCGCGGCCUAUCAGCUUGUUGGUGGGGUAAUGGCCUACCAAGGCUUCGACGGGUAGCCGGCCUGAGAGGGUGACCGGCCACACUGGGACUGAGACACGGCCCAGACUCCUACGGGAGGCAGCAGUGGGGAAUAUUGGACAAUGGGCGGAAGCCUGAUCCAGCAACGCCGCGUGAGGGAUGACGGCCUUGGUUGUGAACCUCUUUCAGUACCGACGAAGCGCCGAUGAUGGUGGUGACGGUAGGUACGAGAAGAAG
RNAcentral lists this ribosomal RNA (455 nucleotides) under uncultured bacterium. RNAcentral describes it as "bacterial SSU rRNA". It matches the Rfam family "Bacterial small subunit ribosomal RNA", at positions 28 to 490 of the family's 1533-position model. The record is from RNAcentral.